GACGAACGCUGGCGGCGUGCUUAACACAUGCAAGUCGAGCGGUAAGGCCCUUUCGGGGGUACACGAGCGGCGAACGGGUGAGUAACACGUGGGUGACCUGCCCUUAGCUCUGGGAUAAGCCUGGGAAACCGGGUCUAAUACCGGAUAUGACUCCAUGACGCAUGUUGUGGGGUGGAAAGCCUUGUGCGGCUGAGGAUGGGCCCGCGGCCUAUCAGCUUGUUGGUGGGGUGAUGGCCUACCAAGGCGACGACGGGUAGCCGGCCUGAGAGGGCGACCGGCCACACUGGGACUGAGACACGGCCCAGACUCCUACGGGAGGCAGCAGUGGGGAAUCUUGCGCAAUGGGCGAAAGCCUGACGCAGCGACGCCGCGUGAGGGAUGACGGCCUG
Molecule: ribosomal RNA, 389 nt
Filed under: uncultured bacterium
Lineage: Bacteria
Description: bacterial SSU rRNA
Rfam family: Bacterial small subunit ribosomal RNA
Source: RNAcentral